CCCGCGUGGGCGGGGCUUUGCGGGAGGGCAGGUGGCGAGGUUCUCGCCCCGAGAGUGGGAGGCGGGACGCGGCAGGUCAGCAAAGUGCUACUUUAGGUCUUUUUGUAUUCUAACUCCUGUUUCAGGGCCGUGAUGAUGAAGUUCGCCACUUUUCCUUUUCUUAUGCCCUUCAUUCGUGUUUUGGAGAGGGAGCGGGGAGGUGCCCGCAAUUAGUAUUCUCUCUUCUUCCCUGGCUAUUAGCAAGAGCAGUCCACUGGGUAUCGUGGGCACAGAGCAAUUGUACCUUUUGGGAGACAGUAAUGAAGCAGAUUGGAUGCAGUUCCCCGCCCCCGCAACAAAAAAGUGAGCUGGACAAUAGGUCAGAAGAAAUAUCCAAACUGAAACAAAGAGAGACAAGAUGGAAAAGAUACAAUAGAAAAGAAAAUACUAUUCAUGUGACAUGGAGUUAAAAAUGUCUACAAUUGGAGUCUUUGCUGGGGAGGACUGAGAGAAUGGGGUAGAAGCAAUCUGUGAAGACAUAUGAGUGAAAGUUUUCCAAAACUGAUGAAAGAUACCAAACCAUAGAAGCAAGAGGAUAAGCCUUCAAACAGGAAGGAGAGAGAGAACCAGAGAGCACAAGUGAGAACAGCAGAGGGAGCAGGAGAUGCAGGCUUCCCGCUCAGCAGGGAGCCCAAUAUGGGCUGGAUUCCAAGACCCCAGGAUCAUGACCUGAGCUGAAGGCAGACACUUAACUGACUGAGCCACCCAGGCACUGCUGGAUAUGGCUUCUUUUUAAAAUGAUUAUUAUUAAUUGUUUAGGGUUGUCUUUUUAACAUGGUAUUCUGAAAUGUCAUGAUGAUAUACCUUAUUUGGGAUAUUUAAAAAUAAUUAAUUGUGCUGGUACAUUUUUGGGUUCUUUAAUCUGGAAAUGCAAAUUUUUUAGUUUUGGAAAAGUUUGCUUUUAAAAAUAUUUUUAUCCCCAUGACUUUCCUUCUUUCCUCUUUAUGAAACUCAUAGUAGUUAUUUGAGCUCUUGGUUUGAUGCUUUUAAUUCUUAGCUUUUCUCUCAUAUUUUCCUUCUUCUUGACAUUUUGUUUACUUCAAGGCUUCUGUAGAAAUUUUUUUCAACUGUUAUUUUAGUUCUUCCUUCUAAUUGACAUCAUUUUUAUUGAUGAAAAACUUCUAUCUCCCUGAUACAUUAAUUUGAGGUUUGGUUUUAAUUUUGAAAUGUUCUUGCAUUUCAUGCAUUCUCUCUCCUCUGGAUUUCUUUUCUUGGUUUGCUUACUUGGCCUUUUUUUAUAUUCUGGAGACUUUCCACACAUAUUUCCUAAACCUUGAUGACCAUUCCUAUUUAACAACAAGGCCCUCAAAUUUUAGUUGGAAGCUCUGUGACCUCUGGUGCUUGCAGUGAGUACUCCUCACUGUUGUGAAGUUGGUCUGAAUAAUGGCCCAUCACCCAGGCCUCAUUUAUCCAUGCAAGGAGGUCAAUCUCUGCAAUCUUUUAAUAUCUUCAGAAAAAAAUUCUUCACUCUUCUACAUGGGGCCUGAUCAUUGGUUUCUAUUCAUCUGUGUAGGGUGAGGCAGAGGUCUUGGGAUCAGUCUGUUAUUGACAAUGGUUUAAUAAUUACUCUUAUUUUUAAUUGUGUACCUCAUCCUUGCUCUCCUCUGGGCCUCAUAGUCCAAUGAUUUUAUCUUCACUAUUCAAUAUUAUUAGUGACUAAACCUUUAUACCUAUGCCUGUAUAUCCCUGGAGAUAAGGUACCUGACCACUUGUAUUUAGUGUGUGGAAGUGGAAAAGGGAAAUUGAAGUGUUAAACAUAGACUGUCAACCUAUCUUCUGCAUCCCUCCUCAUCCCUGCCCCAUAUCUGUUUUAUUCUCUAUAAUUUUCUGCCUUCCUUUGUAUCAAAUGUUUCUAAAUCCUGUGCUUUACUGAGUUCCUGAAGGGGCUGGUGCUGGGAAAUAGCCUGUUUUUCAUCAACAUCCCCUUCUGCAUGCCGUUAGUCUGGGAUUCUAUCUCCCAAUAUGUUUUUCCUGUCAUAUUAGCUAAAAUUUUUCUGAGAUCUCUAGUUUCUUGAUCUCAGAGCUAAUAAACAUAUGUUCAAUGUGGUAGUCUUGAAGCUGUCAAAUACAAAAUAAUUUAUAUAUAGGGAUACCAUUUAUUGAGCCUUUAUUAUGUGCCAGUCAUUGCACUCAGCACUUUAUAUAUGUUAUUUCAUGUAAUAUUUCUAAUUUCCAUUUUAUAUAUGAGGAAACUGAGGAUCAGAGAGAUAGUAAAGAUUAAUAUAAGAUUCCCAAUACAAAUUUUUAUUCCAAUGAGAAUCAGAGUGUCUUUCAUCCCACGAGGUAUUAGCUAAUGGCAAGACUAUGAGUAUGUAUUUUGAUGAUAAGUUUAUAUAUUAGGCAUUUUAUGUCUAGUUGAAUGACAGGAAAUGUCAUUUACAAUAAAUAUUGCAAAUUUGGAAAAGGAUGGAUAAUUUGUUACUGUGGAUUUUUUCAAAGAGUUAUUGAGGGCAUAUCUGAAAGGUACAUAUCCUAUCCAGUGUGACUUUGUCAUAAAUAGCACAUGCAAGGGUUGUAUUCUAAUCAAGGUUCAUUAGUGAGUGAAAAAUAUGUUGUACUUUAUGACAUGAAGACUAUAAACUACAAGAUACAAACGAAUGGAAGAAAUGUUCUGGUGAGGAAAAGGAUGCACAAAUGUCCUGGGAUCUCACUCCCAGCAAACUCAUUCCUUAUUAUUAUUAUUUUUUAAUAAUAGAAAGAAUCUUGAUCUCACUAAACAGAAAACUUCGAGCUCACAUAGUUAAUGAUAGACAGUGUACAUUUCGAGUCUUCAGCAUUGCUGUAGGCUUACAAAUAUCCAGCUACUUUAGAAAAAGUUUUCUUUAUCAUUCAUAAAAAAUCCAUCAAAACUCUUUCACCAACAAUAAAAGAUUUUUUUUCCUAAGGCAGAAGAAUAAUUAGCCUGAUUUUUGCUUCCUUAGUCCUAUUCUUGCAAUCAAACAAAAUAGAACCAGACUUGAGAUGAAGGCAUGUAUUACCUUCAGGGUCUUUUCUUAGUAGGACGAAAGAGAUUUCUUCCAUUCUAUGUUUAGGAACUACCCUCCAAACACCCUGGAGCUAGAAACACUAGAAUUUUGUACUAUUCUUUUUUGAUUCACUAGUCUCCUGUGUAACAGCUUUUUGGGGGGUGUGGUGGUGGAAGAGUGAGUUUCUGACUUUGUGUGUAACUUUUUAUUUUGAUAUACUUUCAACUUACAGAAAUAUCUCAGGAAUGUAAUGGGAACUAGAAAUAUACAUAACAAUACUGAGAUUCAAUUAUUUUCAUUCUGUCUCAUUUGCUUCCUCUCUAUAUACUUGCAUAUUAUUCUUUUUUUUCUGAAUCAUAUGAGAGUAAAUUGAAGAGAUCACAAGUUUUACACCUAAAUAAUAUAAUUCACAGUGUGUUUCCUAAGAGUAUGUUAUUUCUCUUACCUUUUGACAACAUAGUUAUCAAAAUGAGGACAUUUUCUUAUAUUUUCCCUAUUCCCAUGAGCAUGGAUUGCAUUUAUUUUUUAUGUCUCUUUGGUAUCUUUUAAUUUGGAAGAGAUCAUCAGCCAUACUUAAUAUUUCUGGUCUUAAAUUUUUGAAGGGUUAUAGAUCAGUUAUUUCAUAGAAUAUUCCUCAAUUUGAGUUUAUAUGAUGUUUCAUCAUUAUAAGUUUCAGGUUAUGCAUUUUUGUCUUGAAUUUCACUGAAGUGUUAUUUUAGCCUUGUCAGUGAAUCCUAUCAGGGCACAUGUUUCAAACUACAUUAAAAUUAGUGACAUAGGCUUUGGUCACUUGGUAAAGUGAUGUCUACCAGGCUCCUCCAUGGUAAAGUCAUCAUUUUCCCUUCCUAAUUAAUAGGUAGCUUGUGGAGAGAAUAUGUAUCCUAUUCAUCAAACUUUUAUCUACUAGAUUUGAUGUCCACUCAAGGUUUUUUUUAACUCCAUCAUUCUUUCUUCAUUUACUGGUCUACAUUCUACCAUAAAGAGUGCAUUUCCUUUUUUGGGGGUGUUUAUCUUUUAAUUCUUUUAUGUAUUUAUGUCAGUAUGGAGUCAUGGAUUCUUAUUUACUCACCAGGUUAUAAUCUGUUACUAUCAGUAUUUAUUUUGGUGGUCAAAUUGUCCCAGAUUCGGCCAGUGGGAGUCUUUUUGAGCUGAUUCCUGUGUUCAUUUGACAUGUUCCCUUAUUCUUUACUUUUUUACUUUCUGUCACAACAAGAGGUUCCAGACUUAUCUUGUACUUUGCAUGUCUUAGCACUGGUAUCAUCUAUCUCUCCUAGGAAUCCUGGUUCCAUUUAGUGGAGAAUAAAUUUAGAAACUAAGACCUGGAAAGUAGGCAUGCCACUGCUACUGGUGUCUGUUUCCAUGCCUUCUCAGUGGAUAGAAAACAUACGUGUGUGUGUGUGUGUGUGUGUGUAUGUGUAAGUGAGAAAACUUCCUCCAGUUAUCUUCAAUAUAUUUAUUUGUUUGCUGAAGCCUAGAAUACACAAAGGAGAAUUUCAGAAUUGAUAAGCUGCAAAGAAAACCUACUAGCUUAAUACUUUCUUACUUACUAGCUUAAUACUAAGUUUUCUUUUUGAGGUAAAAUUCACAUAAGUUGAAAUAUAUAAAUCAUAAAGACACAAUUCAAUGAGGUCUGAAAAAACAAUAUACCCACAUAGCUGAAUCUAUAACAAGACAUGGAAUAUAUUCUUUACCAAAAAGUUCUCUAAUUCUUCUUCCUGGCUAAUGAACUCUCCUAAACCCCAAGAAAACCACUCUUCUGAUUUUUUUCACCUUAGAUUGUUUUUGGCCUUUUAAAAAAUUUUGCAUCAAUAUGAUAAUGCUCUCUCUAUAUCUAUAUAUCUGCAUCUAUCUAUAUAUAAUGUAUGUAUAAAUCUUUUUGGCUCUUUUGUUAAGUAAAAUGUUUUUGAAACUUACAUGUUGUUGCAUACAUCAGUGCCUCAUACCUUUUUAUUACUCAGUAGUGUACCAUUGCAUAAAAAACCAGUUUAUCCCUUCUUUUAUCGACGGACAAUUGAGUUGUUCCCAGUGUUAGGCUAUGAAUAAAGCUGCUAUGAACAUUAUGUACAAGUCCUUGUGUGAAUGUAUGUUUUCAUUUCUCCCAGCAAAUACAUAAGAAUGGAAUUGCUGAGUCAUGUGGUAAGGAUGUGUUCAUUGGACAUAAAACUGUCAAACUCUUGUCUGCAGUGGUGCCAUCUUUUUUGCAUUCUCAUCACAGUGUAUGAGAGUUCCAGUUCCUCUAUAUCCUUGUCAACAGUUAAUAUCUUAAGUCUUUUAAAUUUUGGUUAUUCCAGUGAGCAUGUAGUCCCAUCUUAUUGUAAUUUUAACUUGAAUUUUCUUGGUAACUUAUGAUGCUAACCACUUUUUCAUGUGCUUAUUAUGUAUUUCCCUUGUUAUUUAUUAGUUCCAUUUAUUAAUAUUAAUAUUAUAAAUGAUUCUGAAAAAUCACAAAUAAAUGUUGACUUCUGUAAAAUAUUUUCU
Molecule: long non-coding RNA, 5483 nt
Filed under: Canis lupus familiaris (dog)
Lineage: Eukaryota; Metazoa; Chordata; Mammalia; Carnivora; Canidae
Description: lncRNA (ENSCAFG00000057491.1)
Source: RNAcentral